UUAAGUGAAUAAGGGCGCACGGUGGAUGCCUUGGCACUAGGAGCCGAUGAAGGACGGGACUAACACCGAUAUGCUUUGGGGAGCUGUACGUAAGCUAUGAUCCAGAGAUUUCCGAAUGGGGGAACCCAACAUCUUUAAUAGGAUGUUACGAUUGUGUGAAUACAUAGCACAUUCGAGGUAGACGCAGAGAACUGAAACAUCUAAGUACCUGCAGGAAGAGAAAGAAAAUUCGAUUCCCUGAGUAGCGGCGAGCGAAACGGGAAAAGCCCAAACCAGCAAGCUUGCUUGUUGGGGUUGUAGGACUCCAAUAUGGUAGUUCUUUCAGAUAGUCGAAUGACUUGGAAAAGUCAGUCAAAGAGGGUAAAAACCCCGUAGACGAAAUGUGGAAGACACCUAGGAGGAUCCUGAGUACGGCGGAACACGAGAAAUUCCGUCGGAAUCCGGGAGGACCAUCUCCCAAGGCUAAAUACUCCCUAGUGACCGAUAGUGAACCAGUACCGUGAGGGAAAGGUGAAAAGCACCCCGGAAGGGGAGUGAAAUAGAACCUGAAACCGUGUGCCUACAACAAGUCAAAGCCCGUUAAUGGGUGAUGGCGUGCCUUUUGUAGAAUGAACCGGCGAGUUACGAUUGCAUGCGAGGUUAAGUUGAAGAGACGGAGCCGCAGCGAAAGCGAGUCUGAAUAGGGCGUUUGAGUAUGUAGUCGUAGACCCGAAACCAUGUGAUCUACCCAUGUCCAGGUUGAAGGUGCGGUAAAACGCACUGGAGGACCGAACCCACGUACGUUGAAAAGUGCGGGGAUGAGGUGUGGGUAGCGGAGAAAUUCCAAACGAACUUGGAGAUAGCUGGUUCUCUCCGAAAUAGCUUUAGGGCUAGCCUCGGAAUUGAGAAUGAUGGAGGUAGAGCACUGUUUGGACUAGGGGCCCAUCUCGGGUUACCGAAUUCAGAUAAACUCCGAAUGCCAUUCAUUCAUAUCCGGGAGUCAGACUGUGAGUGAUAAGAUCCAUAGUCGAAAGGGAAACAGCCCAGACCACCAGCUAAGGUCCCAAAAUAUAUGUUAAGUGGAAAAGGAUGUGGGGUUGCACAGACAACUAGGAUGUUGGCUUAGAAGCAGCCACCAUUUAAAGAGUGCGUAAUAGCUCACUAGUCGAGUGACCCUGCGCCGAAAAUGUACCGGGGCUAAACAUAUUACCGAAGCUGUGGAGUACACCUUUAGGUGUAUUGGUAGGAGAGCGUUCUAAGGGCGUUGAAGGCAGAUCGUGAGGACUGCUGGAGCGCUUAGAAGUGAGAAUGCCGGUAUGAGUAGCGAAAGACAGGUGAGAAUCCUGUCCACCGAAUGACUAAGGUUUCCUGGGGAAGGCUCGUCCGCCCAGGGUUAGUCGGGACCUAAGCCGAGGCCGACAGGCGUAGGCGAUGGAUAACAGGUUGAUAUUCCUGUACCCGUUGUUUUUGUUUGAGCAAUGGAGGGACGCAGGAGGCUAAGGAAUGCAGACGAUCGGAAAUGUCUGUCCAAGCAGUAAGUCUGAAGAGGAGUCAAAUGCUUCUUUUCUUAAGGACAAGCUGUGAUGGGGAGGGAAAUAAUAGUACCGAAGUUCCUGAUGUCACACUGCCGAGAAAAGCUUCUAGUGAGAAAACAGCGGCCCGUACCGCAAACCGACACAGGUAGUCGAGGAGAGAAUCCUAAGGUGAGCGAGAGAACUCUCGUUAAGGAACUCGGCAAAAUGACCCCGUAACUUCGGGAGAAGGGGUGCUGAUCAUACGAUCAGCCGCAGUGAAUAGGCCCAAGCGACUGUUUAUCAAAAACACAGGUCUCUGCAAAAUCGUAAGAUGAAGUAUAGGGGCUGACGCCUGCCCGGUGCUGGAAGGUUAAGAGGAGUGCUUAGCGCAAGCGAAGGUACGAAUUGAAGCCCCAGUAAACGGCGGCCGUAACUAUAACGGUCCUAAGGUAGCGAAAUUCCUUGUCGGGUAAGUUCCGACCCGCACGAAAGGCGUAACGAUUUGGGCACUGUCUCAACGAGAGACUCGGUGAAAUUUUAGUACCUGUGAAGAUGCAGGUUACCCGCGACAGGACGGAAAGACCCCAUGGAGCUUUACUGUAGUUUGAUAUUGAGUGUCUGUACCGCAUGUACAGGAUAGGUAGGAGCCGUAGAAAUCGGAACGCUAGUUUCGAUGGAGGCGCUGGUGGGAUACUACCCCUGCGUUAUGGCCACUCUAACCCGCACCACUGAUCGUGGUGGGAGACAGUGUCAGAUGGGCAGUUUGACUGGGGCGGUCGCCUCCUAAAAGGUAACGGAGGCGCCCAAAGGUUCCCUCAGAAUGGUUGGAAAUCAUUCGAAGAGUGUAAAGGCAGAAGGGAGCUUGACUGCGAGACCAACAAGUCGAGCAGGGACGAAAGUCGGGCUUAGUGAUCCGGUGGUUCCGCAUGGAAGGGCCAUCGCUCAACGGAUAAAAGCUACCCUGGGGAUAACAGGCUUAUCUCCCCCAAGAGUCCACAUCGACGGGGAGGUUUGGCACCUCGAUGUCGGCUCGUCGCAUCCUGGGGCUGUAGUCGGUCCCAAGGG
This 2558-nucleotide ribosomal RNA is filed under the name Enterococcus faecium EnGen0372. RNAcentral's name for it is "bacterial LSU rRNA". It matches the Rfam family "Bacterial large subunit ribosomal RNA", at positions 1 to 2571 of the family's 2925-position model. The record is from RNAcentral. Lineage: Bacteria; Bacillati; Bacillota; Bacilli; Lactobacillales; Enterococcaceae.